This is a long non-coding RNA of Sphaeramia orbicularis (orbiculate cardinalfish), 86 nucleotides long. RefSeq lists it as uncharacterized. Lineage: Eukaryota; Metazoa; Chordata; Actinopteri; Kurtiformes; Apogonidae. The transcript has 3 exons. The record is from RefSeq and is a predicted model, not a curated record.
UUCAUGACAAUAUUUGAAGAUUGUGUAAAACUUUGAGGGGCUCUGAAAACUUUUUUCCACUGCUGUAUUUUGACAGUUCUUAGCAC